RNAcentral lists this long non-coding RNA (792 nucleotides) under Gossypium barbadense (sea-island cotton). RNAcentral describes it as "long non-coding RNA (GBAR_LNC005092)". Lineage: Eukaryota; Viridiplantae; Streptophyta; Magnoliopsida; Malvales; Malvaceae. The record is from RNAcentral.
UCGCAAGAUCAUGCCGAGAAAGUCGAAAAGCCACAGGCUCUCUUUCAUCUUACCGGUCUACAAGAAAGAAGGCAAUGAGUAGUGAAUGCCAGGUAGAGCAGCUUUAUAGAUAGGGUUAGUAAGGUAACAAGUGCUCUUCCUCGGGUGGUUUCCGCGAACUGAUGUCUACGAGUGUUACGAGCCUUGAGUCUGCUCCAACCAUCCCACCCAAUCCUGAGUAGGCUCACAAGUUUCAUUUUAGCCUGAUUUUCGUUCAGUUCUUCCUUUCCUUGGCUUACUGUCUUUCCUGAUGGUGAAUAGCCGCUCUUUGAUUUGAUAGAGGAAGUGACAUCUAAGGGGAAAUAAGAGAUGGCAUCGAAAAGAAGAAGGCAAAGGGACUAAGAAAGGGUGUCUCAAGAAGGGGCUUUGAGGGACGACUGAUUGACCUUCGACGCAGGAAGCAUCGAAUUGCAUUAGUGGGAUAGCUUACUUAAAUACUCCCCCAAGCCAGGAAAGCUAGUGCUCGUGAAUGCGCUCCUUACAUGCAUAUUCUAGUACCAGUCCUUACGCCGAGAAAAGAGUCCUUAGGCCCAAUCUGAGAAGGAAAGCCUUAACGCCCUUGCUUUUGUAACCCGUGCUUGAUGCAAUAACCGCAACGAGAGUAAGCGCUGUUGGAUAGAAGACCACGUAGCCUUGCUAUGCUAAAGGAAUGGAUUUAACUCUUUAGACAGUGCAGAAUCUACUAGGGUUAACCUCUCUUUAGCCUAUUUGUCCUCAUGCUAGCCAAUCUCUGGCAAUUGGUCUAUGGCAAAG